UAUGUUGUGUGCAGUGCCAGCUGACAGAAAAAAAAUGUAAUGUAGUUACAUUUCUCAGGUGUACGUCAGAUUACGACGUAGGUUAUAACGUCCGGUUUAGAGGGGUUUGCGGUCAAGUCGUAGGUUGCGAGGUAGAUUUCCCGUUGGGCAUGCGAGUGACCGCAGCAAUCUAGCAACUAAAAGAAUCACAAGGAGGUCAUUGAUGUAGCACGUUAUAGCUCUUUGAGACCAUUUUUUUUUUUGUUAGCAACUGCCAGCAACCUCCAGCAACCACUCACCAACUGGCUGUUAAAAUACUCUGGUUUCCAUAGCAACUGCUGGUUACCAAGGGAUCACUGACCGGUCUUUAGCCAUGACUGAGACCCUAACGUUAUCAUUAAAGCUAAAUUACUAAAAUCUGCAUCACUUUGAUCAUUUUGAUGUUGUCAUAGAUGGUGAGGUGCAUGUGUCGCACUCUCCACUCAAAGCGAAGACAAAAAAACAACCCCAAAAAUGAAGAACUUAUGAGCAAAACCAAAAUGAUUUUGCAAUAAAUACACCAGCUCAUUAGAGAGUGAGAGCAGUGAAUAGCAUCUGUCUCCUCGAUCAUGUCUAACAAAGGUCACGGCGGAGCGAGCGAUGAGAUUGCAUCUCGGCGUCUGUCACCCUCCAAGCCACAUGCAGACACUACAUCGAGAAACAUCGAGUUAAGAAUACAGAUGAACUGCAAAUUCUGCUUUACAGAUGGGCGAGUUGAUGUGCUCGUCAGAAAGGUGCUGAAAUGUUCCUGCAAAUGUGUUUUGCUGCUCUUCGGGUGAAUUAUAGUUGGCAAAAGUACGCCUGCCAACUGCAGAUGGAACAAACUGUUCACAUGACUGAGCUUCUCUUCCGUUUGUCAGUCGCUUAGCUUCAUUACCGAGUGCCUAAGGUGAACUGCGACAGGUGCUUCUAAACUGCUCUCGUCUGGAUUGGUUCAUUAUAACUUGGCUCAGCAGGUCAGCAUGCGGAUACGGAGGUGUUUAUUGGCUGCUGGCCUUGGUUCCCUGGCAAACCCCGCCGCGCCCAGCUGAUCAUCUUCCAGACUGGGAGCUGGAGGCGCUCCAGUCUGACACAUGCACAGUACAGUGGAGUCCAGCAGCCACAUGGAAGGAAAGAGGCUGACACACAUAGCAGCACAGGGGGACCAAUGAGACUCCAGGAAAGGGAUGCCGACGAGCUAUUUUCAUCCUCAAGACUCUGAAUGUGGCAGACCCCGAGAAGCAGGUGCACCUCAUCGAAGCCAGAUUUCAGACCCACCGUCUCCUAGCAACAACACCAGAAGACGAGAGCACCACCAGCUCCACCAGGGCUACUGCUAUUUACCAAAACGUCGUCUGGCUUUGUUUGGCUGUUUUGUCAUUAAAAAAAAACGACAAAGAAAGGGGGAAAAAAGUAGGCCACCAGUUCUUGUUAAACUGUUAAACGCUAAACUGAACUGGUUUAAACACAGAAGACAAACUGGAUUAAGCAUAGAUAUAAAAUAUGUUUUGCAGUGUCUGUGAAGUGCGAUUGAGGGGUGUUCCUCAGGUCACCCCUCAGGACUGUUAAUGCAACACGGCGCUGUAGGAUUCAUCACUUCAUCACUACAGUACAGUAUAUUUAUAUUAAUACCAAGGCUUCCAGCUAUGUCAGAGUCUUUUAUUUGAUUAAAGACGACCAACAGUGCAACAGCAUGUCAUUAAUUAUGAAGACAGAUCUCCACAGAUCUUUUAUAGUUGAUAUUUGGCCUCAGGGAGGAAUUUCUUUUCAAACAAACUGCUCUAUCAUUGGUUAAUUGAACACUGUAGUUCUAUGUAGUAAUAUGCAAAAACAUUUCGUUGUGUUGAUCUGUUUCUUCCUGAUUAAUUUCCUCAAAGUCAACAAUGCAACUUGGAAAUACUUAAAGGGAAUACAGAGGCCGUGUCCAAUUAGUACAGCUUAAAUCUAUUAAUCACAAUAACAGGAUUUGCCGGCAUAACCAACAGCUGAAUGUGCAAAAUGCAAAUGAAAUUUGUUUACAGGCAGUAAAUGAAGAAUGGGUGUAUACUUUAGUGUAAAUGGGGCAGUUCCUUCAGUGUAAACCCAAUUUUUCUUGUAAUUAAUACCAAAAUACACUGCACCUCAAAACUUGGUGGGAAGUUGUGAAAUUACUGACCUUUAUGGCUUGUGAAAGCUCACGUAUUCUUCAACCAACAGAACUCUUAUGAAAUCCCUCUUAACAUGAGAAUGCACAUUUUCUCAGGGCUUAAAACAGAAGUUUUUCUUACCUCAUGAGGCCUUGGAGAAUCAGUGGUCACAGGUUGGUCAACUCAUGCUGUCCCUUCAAAUGUUAAGUAUUAGUCAGAUGCCAAAACUCCUGGAGACACUGCACGCGAAAGGGAGAAUUUCACAGAGGUGUUUGUUAAAGAAGCGGUGCGGUGUGGUUGAAAAAUGAAGCAAAAGUGAUGUGCUGUGGAUUGCA
Molecule: long non-coding RNA, 2458 nt
Organism: Oreochromis niloticus (Nile tilapia)
Lineage: Eukaryota; Metazoa; Chordata; Actinopteri; Cichliformes; Cichlidae
Exons: 3
Source: RefSeq, a predicted model, not a curated record